CGACAGAUAUGUCACAUAAGUACGUGCCUUGUAAACCAUUAUAUGGGAAGUAAAACAUAUUUAUUGCGAUGUCAUCAUAUUCUUCCAUUUUAAUUGUGGUUCAAGUAAGACAUGAUACAGAAAGCCGUUAUUGUAUUGAUUGUGGUAAUUACCCUUGAUGCCGUGGUUCCUGUUGAUUCUGCCGAAGUACGUUCCAAAAGACAAACAUGGCAAAGUUUGGUGGAUUCGAUUAAAGAUUUCGGAAACAAAGUUGUGAGUUCAGCGGAAAGUGCCGGAUCGAGUAUAAAAUCAUUUUUCAAUAAGACGGGACGAUGGAUACAAAGAAAUAUGGGAUAUUGAAAAUAUUUAUAAGUUAUAUUUUAUAGAAUGGAUUGUAGGUUCAAUUUGUGUAUAUAUUAAGUGGUUCCUAAUUAUAAUUAUGACUAUUU
Manduca sexta (tobacco hornworm) is the source of this 428-nucleotide long non-coding RNA. RefSeq lists it as uncharacterized. The transcript is spliced from 2 exons. NCBI's taxonomy places the organism in Eukaryota, Metazoa, Arthropoda, Insecta, Lepidoptera, Sphingidae. The record is from RefSeq and is a predicted model, not a curated record.